AGAGUUGAUCAUGGCUCAGGAUGAACGCUGGCGGCGUGCCUAACACAUGCAAGUCGAACGGAGUUAUCGGAGCUUGCUUGAUAACUAGUGGCGGACGGGUGAGUAAUGUAUGAGCAACCUGCCUUUCAGAGGGGGACAACAGUUGGAAACGACUGCUAAUACCGCAUAAUGUGCGAGGGGGGCAUCCCUUUUGUACCAAAGGAGCAAUCCGCUGAAAGAUGGGCUCAUAUCUGAUUAGUUAGUUGGCAGGGUAACGGCCUACCAAGACUGCGAUCAGUAGCCGGACUGAGAGGUUGAACGGCCACAUUGGGACUGAGAUACGGCCCAGACUCCUACGGGAGGCAGCAGUGGGGAAUAUUGGGCAAUGGGCGAAAGCCUCGACCCAGCAACGCCGCGUGAAGGAAGAAGGUCUUCGGAUUGUAAACUUCUUUUAUGAGGGACGAAGGACGUGACGGUACCUCAUGAAUAAGCCACGGCUAACUACGUGCCAGCCGCGGC
RNAcentral lists this ribosomal RNA (498 nucleotides) under uncultured bacterium. Its description in RNAcentral is "bacterial SSU rRNA". It matches the Rfam family "Bacterial small subunit ribosomal RNA", at positions 8 to 518 of the family's 1533-position model. The record is from RNAcentral.